This 543-nucleotide unclassified non-coding RNA is filed under the name Drosophila yakuba. Its description in RNAcentral is "GE20111". The record is from RNAcentral. Lineage: Eukaryota; Metazoa; Arthropoda; Insecta; Diptera; Drosophilidae.
AUUGAUACGAGAAAAAUUUAAAAUAUAGAAAAAAUUAAAAUGAACAACAAUACAGAUCUGCAUAAUUCCGUUGAUCAGGACUAUUCCGAAUUUCUCAGCGAGUAUUUACUGCAAAACAAUUCCCAAAGUAUCGAACCGGAAGCCAGUUACGAAGAUGGAGAAUUGGAAGCAGAGUGGUUGGUUUCCGCUGGUUAUCCAGAAUUGACAAAACCCUUCAAACAAGGGAUAGAGGUUUCUAAAACUGACUUGGAUCCCAUACUUACUACUUUAUCUAAGCCACAUGCUGAAGCGAUUGUACAACUGGUAAGGACCCUAAACAAAACGGUACGGGGGCGUACAAAAAACCGACAAAAACGGAAACCUGAUAUAAGAGAUGUAUUUCGCGAAUUUGAUCUUUAAAUUAAACAAAGUUGAUCACCAUAAAGCUGUUAAAGGGGCAGUCGGAAGAUUAAAGGAACGAAGUACAGGAACACGCUCACGAAGUGCCACACCAGAUUCUCUGGACUCUUUACAAAUUGAUCAAGUUUGGACAAACAAUUAUUU